RNAcentral lists this transfer RNA (77 nucleotides) under Anaplasma marginale str. St. Maries. RNAcentral describes it as "tRNA-Met". Lineage: Bacteria; Pseudomonadati; Pseudomonadota; Alphaproteobacteria; Rickettsiales; Anaplasmataceae. The record is from RNAcentral.
AGGUUGCGGGGGACGGACUCGAACCAUCGACCUGCAGGUUAUGAGCCUGCCGAGCUAACCAACUGCUCCACCCCGCG